This 234-nucleotide unclassified non-coding RNA is filed under the name Hevea brasiliensis (rubber tree). Lineage: Eukaryota; Viridiplantae; Streptophyta; Magnoliopsida; Malpighiales; Euphorbiaceae. The record is from RNAcentral.
UCCCAGUCUCCCUUACACUAAUUUCAAAAUUACGUCCAAACUAGCAACCCUCCACAAAUGCAACAGCUCUAAAGAUUAUCCAAAAACUCAGUUUCAUUAUAACAAUUACUCGAAGUGCCCCAACUUCAAAAUCUACUACGCUCGCAAGCAUAAUGCAAAUUUAUUACAGAGUCCUCCGCUUAAGUGUCCAAUUGUGAAUCUCCCAUUAAACAAAAACAAUAGUCAUGACGACAU